RNAcentral lists this ribosomal RNA (301 nucleotides) under uncultured bacterium. Its description in RNAcentral is "partial 16S ribosomal RNA". It matches the Rfam family "Bacterial small subunit ribosomal RNA", at positions 509 to 807 of the family's 1533-position model. The record is from RNAcentral.
CAGUCGCCGCGGUAAUACAGAGGGUGCGAGCGUUAAUCGGAUUUACUGGGCGUAAAGCGUGCGUAGGCGGCUUUUUAAGUCGGAUGUGAAAUCCCUGAGCUUAACUUAGGAAUUGCAUUCGAUACUGGGAAGCUAGAGUAUGGGAGAGGAUGGUAGAAUUCCAGGUGUAGCGGUGAAAUGCGUAGAGAUCUGGAGGAAUACCGAUGGCGAAGGCAGCCAUCUGGCCUAAUACUGACGCUGAGGUACGAAAGCAUGGGGAGCAAACAGGAUUAGAUACCCCUGUAGUCCCUGUCUCUUAUAC